UACGUAGGGUGCAAGCGUUAAUCGGAAUUACUGGGCGUAAAGCGUGCGCAGGCGGCUUUGCAAGACAGAUGUGAAAUCCCCGGGCUCAACCUGGGAAUUGCAUUCGAGACUGCGUAGCUAGGGUGCGGAAGAGGGAAGCGGAAUUUCCGGUGUAGCGGUGAAAUGCGUAGAUAUCGGAAGGAACACCAGUGGCGAAAGCGGCUUCCUGGUCCAGCACCGACGUUCAGGCACGAAAGCGUGGGGAGCAAACAGG
Molecule: ribosomal RNA, 253 nt
Filed under: uncultured prokaryote
Description: partial 16S ribosomal RNA
Rfam family: Bacterial small subunit ribosomal RNA
Source: RNAcentral